Molecule: long non-coding RNA, 544 nt
Organism: Oncorhynchus tshawytscha (Chinook salmon)
Lineage: Eukaryota; Metazoa; Chordata; Actinopteri; Salmoniformes; Salmonidae
Source: Ensembl
GAAUGAGGAAGAGAGAAGAGGUAGGGUAUGAGGAAGAGAGAAGAGGUAGGGUAUGAGGAGGAGAGAGAGAAGAGGUAGGGUAUGAGGAGGAGGGAGAGAGAGAAGAGGUAGGGUAUGAGGAGGAGAGAGAGAGAAGAGGUAGGGUAUGAGGAGGAUGGAGAGAGAGAAGAGGUAGGGUAUGAGGAGGAUGGAGAGAGAGAAGAGGUAGGGUAUGAGGAGGAGAGAGAGAGAGAAGAGGUAGGGUAUGAGGAGGAUGGAGAGAGAGAAGAGGUAGGGUAUGAGGAGGAUGGAGAGAGAGAAGAGGUAGGGUAUGAGGAGGAUGGAGAGAGAGAAGAGGUAGGGUAUGAGGAGGAGAGAGAGACAAGAGGUAAGGUAUGAGGAGGAGAGAGAGAGAAGAGGUAGGGUAUGAGGAGGGUGGAGAGAGAGAAGAGAUAGGGUAUGAGGAAGAGAGAGAGAGAAGAGAUAGGGUAUGAGGAGGAGAGAGAGAGAAGAGGUAGGGUAUGAGGAGGAUGGAGAGAGAGAAGAGGUAGGGUAUGAGGAGGAG